UGGGGAAUUUUGGACAAUGGGCGAAAGCCUGAUCCAGCCAUGCCGCGUGAGUGAAGAAGGCCUUCGGGUUGUAAAGCUCUUUUAGUCGGAAAGAAAGAGUUGCAAUGAAUAAUUGUGAUUUAUGACGGUACCGACAGAAAAAGCACCGGCUAACUACGUGCCAGCAGCCGCGGUAAUGCGUAGGGUGCGAGCGUUAAUCGGAAUUACUGGGCGUAAAGGGUGCGCAGGCGGUCUUGCAAGUCAGAUGUGAAAGCCCCGGGCUUAACCUGGGAAUUGCGUUUGAAGCUACAAGACUAGAGUGCAGCAGAGGGGAGUGGAAUUCCAUGUGUAGCAGUGAAAUGCGUAGAGAUGUGGAAGAACACCGAUGGCGAAGGCAGCUCCCUGGGUUGACAUUGACGCUCAUGCA
Molecule: ribosomal RNA, 406 nt
Filed under: uncultured bacterium
Lineage: Bacteria
Description: bacterial SSU rRNA
Rfam family: Bacterial small subunit ribosomal RNA
Source: RNAcentral